Molecule: ribosomal RNA, 460 nt
Filed under: uncultured bacterium
Lineage: Bacteria
Description: partial 16S ribosomal RNA
Rfam family: Bacterial small subunit ribosomal RNA
Source: RNAcentral
CCUACGGGAGGCAGCAGUGAGGAAUAUUGGUCAAUGGACGCAAGUCUGAACCAGCCAUGCCGCGUGCAGGAAGACGGCUCUAUGAGUUGUAAACUGCUUUUGUACGAGGGUAAACGCAGAUACGCGUAUCUGUCUGAAAGUAUCGUACGAAUAAGGAUCGGCUAACUCCUUGCCAGCAGCCGCGGUAAUACGGAGGAUUCAAGCGUUAUCCGGAUUUAUUGGGGUUAAAGGGUGCGUAGGCGGUCGGAUAAGUUAGAGGUGAAAUCCCGAGGCUCAACUUCGGAAUUGCCUCUGAUACUGUCUGGCUAGAGAGUAGUUGCGGUAGGCGGAAUGUAUGGUGUAGCGGUGGAAUGCUUAGAGAUCAGACAGAACACCGAUUGCGAAGGCAGCUUACCAAGCUACUUCUGACGUUGAGGCACGAAAGCGUGGGGAGCAAACAGGAUUAGAUACCCGGGUAGUC